AGCCAAUCCCCGAUGGCUCUGAAGAUGGGGGUGCCUCCGGCAGAGCCUGGGCCAGUGAGAGAUGGUGGUAAUGCCUCUGUGAUAACAGAUUCAAGAGGAAAAUCCAACCAAAGGGAGGCACAGGUUUUUUGUUCUAGCCAGAGAAGAGAAGGAGCUUGAAGCUGUCAAGAUGGCAGGCAAGUAAAAGAAAAUAAAAGAAUCUUUAAUGAAAAAAUGUCUUCAAUACUCCAAACACAUAUAUGAGAAGUUAUAUAUUAAGAACUCCAGAGGAUUUUAGCUCCUGCCAGAAUAAUUGAAUGCCAAACAUCUGCCAACAAUCAAAUCUGCUAGGAAACCUUUUAAGUAGCCCAGGAGCAAAGAAGUUUGCCACAGACAGAUGUCUUUAGUCUGCACAGUGCAGCAUGCACUCUCCAAUGAAAACAGACUGAAAUAUAAAGAAGGCUUGACAGCAAAUGGAACCCAGGCUGUUCACACCUUCACAAUAAAAAAGCAAAUGAACGUCUAGGUUUUCUAAAAAGUUUUUGUUUUCUUUCAGAAAAGAAAAGCUGAAAGGCUGCAUUCUGUGGUUCUGGCAGCAUUAACAGGUUGGUUUUUCUCAGGUCAAUAGCAAUUCCAUUAAUUAGCAAGAACAGCAACCAAUCUGCAGAAGCCAGCGAUGCUGACCGGCCAUUAAAUACCAUUGCGGGCAUGUUCAUAAUGUGCUCCCAAGCUCAGAGACAAACACUAUUCAGGCAAGAGUUUCUGGGCCAUUAUUGACAUAGAAGAUAGAUUUAACAGGAUAUGUCACCUGCAGAAGGUGACAUAUCCUGUUAAAUAAGAUUAUAUCUAACUAUAACUGGAUGUGGACAUAAAUGAAAGGAUAUUUACAACAUGUACAGCUGGAACAUUUUCUGUGGAUUACAGAGAGAACAUGGUAGACUGGAAGAGAGGAGAGAUUGAGGGAGAGAUGGGAAAAAGAAGAAUGGGACACUUUCUCUUCAGUCAUUCUUUGUCAUUUUCUCUUUUUUAUUAACUUGUCUAGUCUUCCUUUGAUUCUAUACAAACUCUCAGUCCUUGUAGAAUGGUUUUUCUUGUUUGCUGCUACUUACUUGUCAUGUCUUUGACAUUUUUCAGAGCUUAUAAACAGUUUGACUAUUUGUUCAUAAACACAUUUACCCUUUCCUA
Passer domesticus (house sparrow) is the source of this 1164-nucleotide long non-coding RNA. RefSeq lists it as uncharacterized. The transcript is spliced from 4 exons. NCBI's taxonomy places the organism in Eukaryota, Metazoa, Chordata, Aves, Passeriformes, Passeridae. The record is from RefSeq and is a predicted model, not a curated record.